RNAcentral lists this ribosomal RNA (456 nucleotides) under Tarentola angustimentalis. RNAcentral describes it as "partial 16S ribosomal RNA". It matches the Rfam family "Bacterial large subunit ribosomal RNA", at positions 1915 to 2571 of the family's 2925-position model. The record is from RNAcentral. Lineage: Eukaryota; Metazoa; Chordata; Lepidosauria; Squamata; Phyllodactylidae.
GAACCACUUUUAACGGCCGCGGUAUCCUAACCGUGCAAAGGUAGCAUAAUCACUUGUCCCCUAAAUAGGGACUAGCAUGAACGGCCAAACGAGGGCCCAACUGUCUCCUAUAGCCAACCAAUAAACCUGAUCUCUCAGUACAAAAGCUGAGAUAAACACAUCAGACGAGAAGACCCUGUGGAGCUUAAAGUCAAAGUGUCAACACCAAAACCACCAUUGAUGCACACUUUUAGUUGGGGCGACUAUGGAGUAAAACAAAACCUCCACGAUUAUACCACAGCGUAGCCUAAGACCCACACGUCAAACCAUAAACACUACGACCCAGUCAAACUGAUCAACGAACCAAGUUACCCCAGGGAUAACAGCGCCAUCCUCCCCAAGAGCCCAUAUCGCCAGGAGGGCUUACGACCUCGAUGUUGGAUCAGGACACCCAGGUGGUGCAGCCGCUACCAAAGG